This 429-nucleotide ribosomal RNA is filed under the name Fusobacteriota bacterium. RNAcentral's name for it is "Fusobacteria bacterium partial 16S ribosomal RNA". It matches the Rfam family "Bacterial small subunit ribosomal RNA", at positions 355 to 776 of the family's 1533-position model. The record is from RNAcentral. Lineage: Bacteria; Fusobacteriati; Fusobacteriota.
UGGGGAAUAUUGCGCAAUGGGCGAAAGCCUGACGCAGCGACGCCGCGUGAGGGAUGAAGGUUUGCGGAUCGUAAACCUCUGUCAGAAGGGAAGAAACCGCACUGUGCUAAUCAGCAGUGCCUUGACGGUACCUUCAAAGGAAGCACCGGCUAACUCCGUGCCAGCAGCCGCGGUAAUACGGAGGGUGCAAGCGUUAAUCGGAAUUACUGGGCGUAAAGCGCACGUAGGCUGCUUUGUAAGUCAGGGGUGAAAUCCCACGGCUCAACCGUGGAACUGCCUUUGAUACUGCUUAGCUUGAAUCCGGGAGAGGGUGGCGGAAUUCCAGGUGUAGGAGUGAAAUCCGUAGAUAUCUGGAGGAACAUCAGUGGCGAAGGCGGCCACCUGGACCCGUAUUGACGCUGAGGUGCGAAAGCGUGGGGAGCAAACAGG